CGUUUGGACGUAAAAAAAAAAAAAAAAAAAAAAAAAAAAAAAAAAUAGUGACUUUAGAAUUAUAUCUUAUAUAACCAGCAUUACUCUAGUUGUUUGGUACUUAUUUGGUAACCAACGUACCUAUUGCUCUUACUAGCAAUACGAUACGUAUGUAUAAUACGAUAAUACGAUAUGUAUACACGUAUUUAAUAACAAUAAUACGAUAUGUAUGCAAAAAUUAAUUUAAUAUACAAUAUAAUAAAUUAAUACGAUAUGUAUUUAAUAUCAUAACGAUGUUGUAACUUAUACUCUGAACUCCAUAUAGUAUAUUGCAAUAUAAAGAUUUACAAGUUGUCCUUAAAGUAUUAUAAAAUGUAUGUAUUAUGCGUUAUCUAUUAUCAUGCUGCAAGCAUAUCUUCGUUUAUUGUAUUGUAAAGAUGAUCUAUCUAUGUACCAUAAAUUAAUAUAUGUAUCUCCUUCACAAUCGUUUAUUGUAUUGUAAAGAUGACCUUCAUUAUGUACUCAUCAUAUCAGAUAACAAUAAUGAAAAUGGUUUAUAUAAAAAAUGUUAUUUUUGUUAUUUAAAUAGCUUUGUUAAACUAAUGCAACGUAUUUGAUGUAAUAUGUAUCUAAUUCGUAGGUGUUUCAAUAAGGUCUUCAGUGUAAUGAAACCCUGAAAAUCCUUACCUGCUAUAUGUUUUAUUAUUAUUAUCUAAGCAAGAGAUGUCUUCGGUUAAUGUAUACUUUGUAUACAUGUAUCAGCUGCAGUAACGAAAGAUGUUCAGGACUCCAAGACUUAUCAACUUUAUUAGAAGUAUGACCAUUAAGAACACGAUAUCAUGAAAGAAACCUCAUCAAGAUGUACUUUAUUUUUCGUGCUUGGAUUUCAAAACAGAAACUGCUGUAACCUGACGGAAAUAUUUGUUGCAAGCCUCCUGCAGGAAAGUUCCAUUGGAAUAAAUGAAUGCCUG
Molecule: long non-coding RNA, 950 nt
Organism: Stegodyphus dumicola
Lineage: Eukaryota; Metazoa; Arthropoda; Arachnida; Araneae; Eresidae
Source: RefSeq, a predicted model, not a curated record